This 64-nucleotide transfer RNA is filed under the name Osedax rubiplumus. RNAcentral's name for it is "tRNA-Ala". Lineage: Eukaryota; Metazoa; Annelida; Polychaeta; Sabellida; Siboglinidae. The record is from RNAcentral.
GUUACUCUAGUUUAAUUAAGAACAUUUAGUUUGCAUCUAAGAAGUGGAUUAUAUCCGCGCGACA